GUCCACGCCGUAAACGGUGGGCACUAGAUGUGGGGCUCAUUCCACGAGUUCCGCGUCGCAGCUAACGCAUUAAGUGCCCCGCCUGGGGAGUACGGCCGCAAGGCUAAAACUCAAAGGAAUUGACGGGGGCCCGCACAAGCGGCGGAGCAUGCGGAUUAAUUCGAUGCAACGCGAAGAACCUUACCAAGGCUUGACAUAUGCCGUUUAUCCCUAGAGAUAGGGAGUCCUUCGGGGCGGUAUACAGGUGGUGCAUGGUUGUCGU
Molecule: ribosomal RNA, 262 nt
Filed under: uncultured bacterium
Lineage: Bacteria
Description: partial 16S ribosomal RNA
Rfam family: Bacterial small subunit ribosomal RNA
Source: RNAcentral